RNAcentral lists this ribosomal RNA (170 nucleotides) under uncultured bacterium. Its description in RNAcentral is "partial 16S ribosomal RNA". It matches the Rfam family "Bacterial small subunit ribosomal RNA", at positions 338 to 524 of the family's 1533-position model. The record is from RNAcentral.
CCUACGGGAGGCAGCAGUGAGGAAUAUUGUGCAAUGGGGGAAACCCUGACACAGCGACGCCGCGUGGGCGACGAAGGCCUUCGGGUCGUAAAGCCCUUUUGGCAGGGACGAGUGAGGACGGUACCUGUCGAAUAAGUCUCGGCUAACUACGUGCCAGCAGCCGCGGUAAU